GUGAGGAAUAUUGGACAAUGGGCGCAAGCCUGAUCCAGCCAUGCCGCGUGCAGGAAGACGCAUCUAUGGUGUGUAAACUGCUUUUGUACGGGAAGAAACACUCCCUCGUGAGGGAGCUUGACGGUACCGUAAGAAUAAGGAUCGGCUAACUCCGUGCCAGCAGCCGCGGUAAUACGGAGGAUCCAAGCGUUAUCCGGAAUCAUUGGGUUUAAAGGGUACGUAGGCGGUUUAAUAAGUCAGUGGUGAAAGCCCAUCGCUCAACGAUGGAACGGCCAUUGAUACUGUUAGACUUGAAUUACAAGGAAGUAACUAGAAUAUGUAGUGUAGCGGUGAAAUGCUUAGAUAUUACAUGGAAUACCAAUUGCGAAGGCAGGUUACUACUUGUGGAUUGACGCUGAUGGACGAAAGCGUGGGGAGCGAACAGGAUUAGAAACCCGUGUAGUCC
This 445-nucleotide ribosomal RNA is filed under the name uncultured bacterium. Its description in RNAcentral is "partial 16S ribosomal RNA". It matches the Rfam family "Bacterial small subunit ribosomal RNA", at positions 354 to 796 of the family's 1533-position model. The record is from RNAcentral.